UGAACGCUGGCGGCAUGCUUUACACAUGCAAGUCGAACGGCAGCGCAGGGGGCAACCCUGGUGGCGAGUGGCGAACGGGUGAGUAAUGCAUCGGAACGUAUCCUUAAGUGGGGGAUAACGCACCGGAAAGGGGUGCUAAUACCGCAUAAUCUCUGAGGAGAAAAGCAGGGGAUCGCAAGACCUUGCGCUUUUGGAGCGGCCGAUGUCUGAUUAGCUAGUUGUCGAGGUAAAGGCUUACCAAGGCGACGAUCAGUAGCUGGUCUGAGAGGACGACCAGUCACACUGGGACUGAGACACGGCCAGACUCCUAUGGUAGGCAGCAGUGGGGAAUUUUGGACAAUGGGGGAAACCUUGAUCCAGCCAUGCCGCGUGAGUGAAGAAGGCCUUCGGGUUGUAAAGCUCUUUCAGCCGGAACGAAACGGUUACGGAUAAUACCCGUGACUACUGACGCGCCGGAUGAAGAACACCGCUAACUACGUGCCAGCAGCCCGCUGUAAUACGUAGGGAAGCAAGCGUUAAUCGGAAUUACUGGGCGUAAAGGUGCGCAAGCGGUUUUGUAAGUCAGAGUAAAUCCCCGGGCUUACCCUGGACCUGCGUUUGAACCUACAAGGCUAGAGUGUAGCAGAGGGGGGUGGAAUUCCACGUGUAGCAGUGAAAUGCGUAGAGAUGUGGAGGAACACCGAUGCGAAGCCAGCCCCUGGGUUACACUGACGCUCAGGCCGAAAGCGUGGGGAGCAACCAGGAUUAGAUACCCUGGUAGCCCCGCCCUAAACUAUGUCAACUAGUUGUCGCCCUUAACGGGUUUGGUACGCACUUACGCGUAAGUUGCCGCUUGGGAGUCGGUCGCAAGAUUAAACUCAAAGGAAUUGCGGGGCCCGCACAAGCGGUGGAUUAUGUGGAUUAAUUCGAUGCAACGCGAAAAACCUUACCUACCCUUGACAUGUACCGAAGCCGCUGAGAGGUGGGUGUGCCGAAAGGGACGGUAACACAGGUGCUGCAUGGCUGUCGUCAGCUCGUGUCGUGAGAUGUUGGGUUAAGUCCCGCAACGAGCGCAACCCUUGUCAUUAAUUGCCAUCAUUCAGUUGGGCACUUUAAUGAGACUGCCGGUGACAAACCGGAGGAAGGUGGGGAUGACGUCAAGUCCUCAUGGCCCUUAUGGGUAGGGCUUCACACGUAAUACAAUGGCGCGUACAGAGGGUUGCCAACCCGCGAGGGGGAGCUAAUCUCAGAAAGCGCGUCGUAGUCCGGAUCGGAGUCUGCAACUCGACUCCGUGAAGUCGGAAUCGCUAGUAAUCGCGGAUCAGCAUGUCGCGGUGAAUACGUUCCCGGGUCUUGUACACACCGCCCGUCACAACCAUGGGAGUGGGUUUCACCAGAAGCAGGUAGUCAUAACCGCAAGGAGGGCGCUUGCCACGGUAG
RNAcentral lists this ribosomal RNA (1419 nucleotides) under Nitrosovibrio sp. RY3C. RNAcentral describes it as "16S ribosomal RNA". It matches the Rfam family "Bacterial small subunit ribosomal RNA". The record is from RNAcentral. Lineage: Bacteria; Pseudomonadati; Pseudomonadota; Betaproteobacteria; Nitrosomonadales; Nitrosomonadaceae.